AGUUACUUAGCUUAUAUAAAGCAUUUACUUUGAAAGUAAAAGAAAGAAAAGAAUUUAGUAACUU
RNAcentral lists this transfer RNA (64 nucleotides) under Seriana bacilla. Its description in RNAcentral is "tRNA-Ser". Lineage: Eukaryota; Metazoa; Arthropoda; Insecta; Hemiptera; Cicadellidae. The record is from RNAcentral. RNAcentral also lists the same sequence under 1 other name.